AGUGAACGCUGGCGGUAGGCCUAACACAUGCAAGUCGAACGGCAGCACAGUAAGAGCUUGCUCUUACGGGUGGCGAGUGGCGGACGGGUGAGGAAUACAUCGGAAUCUACUUUUUCGUGGGGGAUAACGUAGGGAAACUUACGCUAAUACCGCAUACGACCUACGGGUGAAAGCAGGGGAUCUUCGGACCUUGCGCGAUUGAAUGAGCCGAUGUCGGAUUAGCUAGUUGGCGGGGUAAAGGCCCACCAAUGCGACGAUCCGUAGCUGGUCUGAGAGGAUGAUCAGCCACACUGGAACUGAGACACGGUCCAGACUCCUACGGGAGGCAGCAGUGGGGAAUAUUGGACAAUGGGCGCAAGCAUGAUCCAGCCAUACCGCGUGGGUGAAGAAGGCCUUCGGGUUGUAAAGCCCUUUUGUUGGGAAAGAAAAGCAGCAGGUUAAUACCCCGCUGUUCUGACGGUACCCAAAGAAUAAGCACCGGCUAACUUCGUG
Molecule: ribosomal RNA, 492 nt
Filed under: uncultured bacterium
Lineage: Bacteria
Description: partial 16S ribosomal RNA
Rfam family: Bacterial small subunit ribosomal RNA
Source: RNAcentral